GUUCUUUUGUUUAUAUAAAAGAUCUGGCCUGCCCAAUGAAAAUUUAAUGGCUGCAGUAUUUUGACUGUACAAAGGUAGCAUAAUCAUUUGUCUUUUAAUUGAAGUCUGGAAUGAAUGGUUUGAUGAAAAAUUUACUUUCUUUAUUUUAAAUAAAUAAUUUAAUUUUUUAAUUAAAAAGUUAAGAUAUUAAUAUAGGACGAGAAGACCCUAUAGAACUUUAUUUUGAUAAAAAUAUAGAAUUUUGUUAAUGAGUUUUUGUCUUUUUUAAGAAAUUUUGUUGGGGUGACGGAAAAAAAUUUUUAACUUUUUUUUAUUUUUUCAUAAAUUUAUGAUUUUUUUGAUCCUUUACUAUGGAUAAUAAGUUUAAGUUACCUUAGGGAUAACAGCGUUAUUAUUUUAGAGAGUUCAUAUCGAUAAAAUAGUUUGCGACCUCGAUGUUGGAUUAAAAUAAGUUUCAGGAGUAGAAUAUUGAGUAUCUAGGUCUGUUCGACCUUUAAAUUUUUACA
This 506-nucleotide ribosomal RNA is filed under the name Pilophorus uhleri. RNAcentral describes it as "partial 16S ribosomal RNA". The stretch from base 379 to 506 matches the Rfam family "Bacterial large subunit ribosomal RNA", at positions 2473 to 2600 of the family's 2925-position model. Lineage: Eukaryota; Metazoa; Arthropoda; Insecta; Hemiptera; Miridae. The record is from RNAcentral.